UUGAAAGGGAAACGAUUGAAGUCAGUCGUACCAGCGGGAAAUCAACCUUUCGAGUGGUGUUUUGGAGUUUUGAAGUGUGUCAAAACCUUUGAGAUUUUAAAAUUUUCGCUCUUUUGGUGUACUUUCUCGUGGGUAGGUUAACAUCGAUUUUGAUCAUCAUAAAAAGACUGGAGGAAUGUAGCUUCGAUCUUGUAUUGAAGUGUUAUAGCCUUUGGUAAAUGUGAUGAUUAGGAUCGAGGAUUGCAACGAAUACCCUUCUGGGCUAUCCGCCUGAUCUCUGAUACGUGGCCUUGGCAUCGAAAGCUUGCUUAUGGUAUCAAGGUAUUACGGUCAAAAGGUUAGAACGGAUUACAUUCGUUAAGGAUGUUGACGUA
This 374-nucleotide ribosomal RNA is filed under the name uncultured Glomeromycotina. Its description in RNAcentral is "LSU rRNA". The record is from RNAcentral. Lineage: Eukaryota; Fungi; Glomeromycota.